Molecule: non-coding RNA, 7613 nt
Organism: Globicephala melas (long-finned pilot whale)
Lineage: Eukaryota; Metazoa; Chordata; Mammalia; Artiodactyla; Delphinidae
Source: RefSeq, a predicted model, not a curated record
CUUCCCGCAGGGUAGCAGGCCGGAGUCGGUCUCAGCCUGUAAUUCGAGGGUUAGUGUUCAGGGUUCUGAGGUUUCCUGGAGCCUCCUCGGCCUUUCACCGCCUCCUACACGCUUGGAGGAGGCGUGGGACUUGCGUCUGACAGAGACAGGCACUUCCCAGAGCCCCAGCGUCACAGCCUUGGGAAAGAGCUGUUCUCCUAUGCCUAUUCCAUUGGAGUGUGGUGAGAUGGGAACCCGUGCAGCCGCAGCUUUUCUCGGACACCUGUGUUUGGGAGGGGACAGGCGGGCACUCCGGAGACCCGACUGCGCAUGGGAAGCAGAGAGUUUAGGGCAUUUGGGGUCUAGAGUCUUCUGCCGCUCUAUGUUUCCCCCCAGGGUUCCACCAGGUUGGUGCAGGUUGACCUCGUGUUAGGCUGCACCCUGCAGGUCUGCAAGCCUUGUAGUUGCCCAGCAGCGGGUUGCAAGAAAGAGCAUGGAGACAGCGGUAGAGACAUCAAGGGUUUAUUGGACAGGAAAUCUUUCAGCUCUGAAGCAAAGGCCCUGGGGUGAUACCCCACUGUGUAUGGCAGACAUCAGGCAGGACACAGGCAGUAGUCUUCCUCUGGGAGAGGAGAAGGAGGAGGAGGUUACCAAUUAUUGGGGAAUUGAUGUCAGGUGGGCUCAUUGGUUUCCAGGGAAACCAGUAGAAGAGUGUGUCCCUCAUUGCCCCUUUGGUUAACAACCAUCACUGGGGCAGGUGUUGCCCCUUGAUAAACUAGCAUGGUGUAGCCAUUCUGGUCUUGAGCUCAGACAGCAGUGAGCAGUGGCUUGAAGUGAGAUUUUAGUUCCCUGCCCAGGAUUUGGACCUGGGUAGCCCAAAAGAAAACCAGGAAUCCUAGCUGCUAGACCACCAAAGGCUAGGGGCUAGAAGCGAAGUUCCCCUGGCUCUUGCCUCAUUUGAAAAAUGAAUUUCUCAAGGAGGCAGAAACAGGUACAAAGUUUAUUGUUAGAGACACAACACAACAAGUUGGGGAGCACACGGAGAAACAGUUUGUUUAUUUAAGACAGAAGCAAGAUAGAGAUAUGCACCCAGAGAGAAAGGGUGUGGGUGUCCUCCCUAAUGAGGAGAAGCGCAGUAGAGAGGAGGUCAAAUCAUUGGGGCUCGUGCAAAGACGAGGAACAGGCACCCUUGCUCACUCCCUGAGAGGAGCUGCUUUGGUCCUUAAAUGGGGUAACAAUGGGAGCAGAUCCAUGGGUUGGGUAGGAGGCGUAGCCUAGGUGGUCAGCCCACCCCCUUGGUGGUGCUGUGUACCACGCUUUUGCUCCCAGCCCCUCAGAAACGGCAGUUGGUUUGUGGCUUUUUGUAUUUUUGUUCAUAAUUGCCCCAACUGCGUGUGUGUGCAGUUAUUUUUAGUCCCUUAGUUUCAUUGUAUUCCGUUGCUCAAGGAGAUGUCUGUCCAGGUGCACGCACUCUGGGUCCCAGGUCCCAGCCUAUCUCAGAAGGACCCAUAGGACAUUUCUGGAAAAACGAAGGCAGUGAACGGCCUCAGGGGUGACCAGCUGCAGUGUCAGAACUGCAGCGUAUCCAGAGCUGUGAACCCAGACAUUCUAGUCUUCUACUUUCUUUGCGUGCAUGUGAAAGUGAGGGGCAGAGAUGGUAGUGGAGACUGGGUUUUGACCAAUCUUCAAAAAGACCAGAUAUCUCAGGCAACCCUUUCCCUGGCUACUGCCAUUCUCCACAGAAGUCAUGUGAGGAGAGAAUUGCUGCUGUACAUCAAAAAAUCAAAUUCAAGGUUUACUCUCCAGGUAUAAGACCAAGAAGUUAUCUCCAGAGGACAUUUAUGAAAUCAGUUUAUCCUGAUGGAAGAUAAUAGGAGGAAGUAAAACUCCUUGUCUUAAAGGAUCUAUUUUGAGAAAUGAGUGGCAGAGCAAAACAUCAGAAAAUUCAUACAGGCAAGAAACCCUGUGAAUGUAAGGAAUGUGGGAAAACUUUUAGUGCAUGUGGUCAACUUACCUGUCAGCAGAAAAUUCAUACAGGCAAGAAGCCCUGUGAAUGUUAAGGAAUGUGGGAAGGCCUUUAGACUUGAUUUUUACCUCAUUGAACACAGAAGAAUACAUACAGGAAGUUCGUAUUAGGAAAUAAACCUGUUAAUGUAACUGUUAACCAAGAAUUCCAAGAACAGAGACCUGGUUGAAGAAAAAAAGGAAAAAAGCGCUUUUAUUUGGGGUUUGUUAGAACUGCAGCCCAAGAAACACAACCCACUCGAAUUGUGUUCUGCUGGACUAUAAAAUGGGGUAGGCUUAAAAAGGUAAAAAACUGCAAAGUUACAUAAGUUGUCAAGAAUUAGGAUGUGAGCUGGCAAGAGGUAAGGGUGCUUGUUAAACAAGGAUGCUUUGGGGUUACAUAAUUGUGUCGGGGGUGGGAGACUUUUAAACUACAAGGUUGCAACUAGCAGCUGCUAGCAAAUACUGUUUUGAAAACAGCUGGUGCUGUCCUUGAGUUUAAUACAAUUCAGAGAAAAUUCAAGUUCUCAGUGAUGCAUGAAUGUGUCUCAGACCAGAUCCUCAGUGUCUGCCAGAUUACAUUUUUGUAUGCCUGAACUAUGAAUACUCCAUUAUAAUUUCAAUUUGUCAUCAAAAUAAUUGUGGGGAAGUUUUUAAUCAAUGACAUAUACUUAUCAUCAUUGCCUUUACUAUCUGUGUGAUAGUGGGCAACACAUUUACCCUUCAGUGUGUCAUUUAUAAAAUGGUACCCACCUAAAAGUGUGGUUGAUAGUUUAUAACAUGUACAAUUUUGCAAAAACUACCUGGCCAAAAAACUCCUUUGAAUGAAAAAUAGAUAUGAUAAUUUUUAUUAUUAUCAACAUUAUACUUAAUGAGUUUCUUAAUAUAAAGACAUAAUGAAGGUAACAAAUUUAGAAAGCCAUUCAUCACUUAUUGUAUUUCAGGAAAUUCAUCUUUGAUAAAAUCCAUAAGAAUAUAAAGAACAUGUAAAGAUCAAAUGCAGACUUCAUUGCUUAAGUUCUACCAGAAAAUUAGAGCUGAAAAGUAACCCUAAGGAUUUAAUGAGUGUGAGAAUAUUAAGAAUAUAGCUGGUGAAACAUCAGGGAAUGGUGUGAAGGAUUUUACCAAUAAUAUAGAAGUUAAAAGGAUAACAAAGAGCAAACUGCCUAGAAAAUAUUUACCAACUUUAUUAUGAAAAAUUUCUGACAAAAACAUAGAACACAUUCUGUAAUGAACAUCCAUUUACCCUUCACCUAGAUUUGAAAAUUUACACUUUGUAUAUUUGCUUCAUUUUUCUAUAAAAUAUAAUUUUUGCUGUACCAUUUAAUAAUAAAUUGUAAACAUUUUAUCACUUUACCCUCAAUAAAUCAGUUUGUAUCCUAGAAGUUAGGAUAUUACCAAAAUAUUAUAAUCAUACCUUAAAAAUUAAUUCUAUACAUUCUAUAUUCUGUCCAUAUUUAAUUUUCCCUAAUAUUCUCAAGAAUAUCUUUUAACAAGGAUUCACUCUCCAGGCUCAUACUUGUUAGUGGUUAUGUCACUUUUAAACUGAACAGCACUCCCCCAUCUUUGUUUCAUGGUUAUGUUUUUUUGAAGAAUCCAUCACAGUUGUCUUAGAAUGUCUUAAGUUCUUGGUUUGUCAAAUUUAUUUCCUCAUAAUGUUGUUCAUCUUGUUACACUGUUUCUAAAUUGGAACUUAAGUAGAAGCUUGAUUUGCCUCUUGUUAAACAUUUUUAGCAAGAACACUUCACAGGUAUCUGUGACUGCCAGAUCUCUCAUUAUAAAACUAGCUUAUUUUUUUGCAAUUCGUAAGUAAUUGGGUAAUAAUUUGCACCUCCUGUUGGAAAUGUAUAAUAAUCUAUAUGUAUAAAACAAGUAAUAGAUUAAACUGAAAGUCAAAUUUUAAAUUAUAACCCAUUCAGAGAGGACUGGUACUAAAAUGUUUGUAUUUCAAAAUUUGUGAGAUGUAGCCAAACCUCUACUCAGUGUGAAAUUAACAUCCUUCGAUGCAUACAGAAAACUAAAAUUAAGGGAUGGGACUUUUUGUUAUCUCCCACCUCAGCUCCUAUUCCAGUGUCUUUCUCAUAUAUUAGGCACUUGAUAAAACUUGAAAAAAAUAAGCAGUCAAGUGAAAAAGUUAAAAUAAAAUGAAUACUAACAGAAGGAAGUAGUUAAUGCAAUUUAAACUAGAAAUUAAUUUUAAAAAACACUCGUAGACUUACCCAAUUUUUCCAAUUUAAAUUAGAAAUUAGUUUUAAAAAACACUCGUAGACUUACCCAAUUUUUCCAAUUUGAUAAAAGAAAAAUGACACAAUUAUAGCAGCAUGAAUAACAAGAGGAAUAUUAUUAACACAGAUACUGAUGUUGUUCUUUGUGAGGAAAUAUUAUGUAAAUUUAUUUCAAUAUAUACAAAAUUCCAGUUAAUGAAUUAUUGUCUAGGAAGUGAACUUUAUUGAAAUUGAUAAAACAUAAGCCUGAAAAGACCAUUAAUGAGUGGGAAAGUUAAAUUUAGCAAAAAAGCUCCUUUUUAUGAGCCAGCACUUACAAUCUGUUAGCUCCUUGGAUAAAAACUUCAAGGAGAUAAUCCUUAACAGAAUUUUCCCAGUUCAUGCUGCAUGACUGAUGUAAUCCAGAUGACAAAACUAGAGAAUAGUUAUUAAAAGGCAAAUCUAGAUGAGUUCUAAUUAAAUAGAAAAGGCAAAAAGCUAAAUAGAAUAUUUGUCAGCAAAAUGAUAUAAAAACAUUAUGCAGUAAAUUCUCAUUUAUUUGAAAUAAACCAGCAUUGGAAAUUUCUAAUUAUGUACAUAUCUAGCUUAAAUGAUUGAAAACAGAACUUGAUUAAUUCUCUUUUAUCUUCUAGAUUCAUUCUCUUAGCCUUACUAUCACUGAUAUUGUCCUGAUUUCUCAAAAUGAAAAAGUGCUCUCUCAUUUUAACAUUUUGAAGGUGAUACAAUUUAACAAUCAGUGGCAUCCUGUAAUUACUUUCAAGUAAAUACCAACCAAGAUUUUUAUGUGUAUGAAAAGCUUUCAUUGGUAUUUUCUGGUAAGAUCAACAGUGUUCCAGUAUCAAAACAUUUUAUAUUUGAUGGAAUGUAUUGUAUGUAUAUACACUUGCCUAUACACACUCUAGACGUAAGGAUUUAAAUUUAAUUCUUUAUAAGAGUUUCUUGAAAACAACCGCCAAAACAAAGGCACUUCAAUGUUUUUGUUUAGAUUUUAAUAAAUGGUGCUGGGACUCUUAUACAUACAAUGCAUACCACAUACAGGCAGCUCCUGAAAAUCUAAAUAACUUCUGGUGAAUAUCAGAGAAUACCUGAAGUACUUGGCAUUAGAUCAUCUAAGGAAAGCCGAUGAUCUAAGACCAGAACACGAGAGAAUAUACACCACAAUUUAAAAAGUAAGUGUGGCAUAAUGUGAUCUAUGUCUAGGGUUUGUCACAAGGAGCAUGAGUGGAGACAAUGGCAACAGUGAGAUUGCUGGGAGAAGUAAUUUCACCUAGCAUAUCACCCUUUCUUAAACUAGUUAGUAAGUACUAUUGUUUGCUUCUGGGAGAAUGUGAGAGGCUACUGAUUGGUAUUAUUCUGGAAAAAACAGGAGCAUCCCUAUACUUAGGACUAGCUGGCAAGGAAUUUUGUACCACAGUAGCCCUCCUGCUAGCCUGUCUCUCUCUAAAAACAAAUCAGAGUACAAAUCAAGGCAGCACAUCCUAGUCCUGCCCUGAGGCAGAUUACAUCAAAAGGAUCCUCAAGUGUAAAACUGAGUAUAUGUCAGAAUACCAAACAUUUGAUAAAAGUAGAUUCUCAUAAAAUAGAGAAACAAAGCUAACCAACUGGAAAUACUACCAGUAGAAUAAACAGAACAGGACUUUUAAGUAUGAAUAGCAUCCUCAAAAUGAUGUGAACAUAUAUACUAUAUCCCCAAAACAGAAUCUACUAGAGAUUACACAAGUUAUUUAAAUGUUUUUGCGAAAAUAACUCAGUAGAGGGACUUCUGUUUCUAAAAAGAUGGAAUACAUGUCCUUUUCCCUGUUCUUCCUGCUAAAUACAACUCAAAACUCUGGACAUUAUAUAUAAAACAUACAAGAUGACUCUCAAAGAUGAAGAGAAGCUAGGGACCACAGGACCUAAGGAGCAACAUGGGGUGAGUUCCACAGGUUUCAUUUUUAUCCCAAACUUGGAGCUAAAGAAGCUGGUAAUUGAAAUGCUAAUGUGCAGAGACUGAAAAAAAGUCUCAAGAAAAGCCUGUUCUCUCCAACCAGAGAAACAGGAAAGGACAGCCUAACAAGACAUGAAACUUUUAAACAACUGCUCUACUUCAGGCAAACACCACCAAAAAAUCUGUGGCCCUAUCCCCACCACUGACACCAGAGGCCAAAUGGAGACUCUAGCCCUCUGACCUUUAUUAGGUUGUAAAAAGUAUCCCCAAUGUCCCCACCAGAUUGUGUCAGAAAAAGUUGAGCAUGAAGUCCACCCUUUAAUGGGCCCCUCCACUACCAGUACGAUGUCAAUGGUGCCUAAAUGGGGAGCCUGACCUUCCAUAACCAAUGAAAAUAUUGUUCAGGAAAUGAGAAAUCGAGAACAGCCUCAGAUGAAAAUGAUUUUUAACAACAGGCAUACCCUCAAAGAAUGACUUCCAGGAUUUGUUGCCAACAAAACUAUCCCCAAAGAAUGCCUAAAGAAAUACCUGUAAACAAAAAUGAAACAUUAAAGAAUUGUGGAAAACAAGGAAGGUAGACAGAACACCAUAAGAGCAAAACUGUGGGUAAAAUAGAUUUUCCUUUCCUUAAUUAUGUUUGACAGUUUAAACAAAAAUCAUAACACUGUCUAAUGUGGUCUUCAAGAAAUAUUCAAGUCAAUUAGAAAUGAGAGAGAAGAAAGGAAAGUAAGGUUUCUACACUUACAGUGGAUAAAUGUUGAACCAUUAUACUUCAGUAUGUACAGCUGGCCCUCCAUGUCUAUGGGUUCCAUAUCCACAGGUUGAAAAUACUUGAAAAAAAAAUUCCAGAAAGUUCCAAAAAGCUAAACUUAAAUUUGCCACAUGCUGGCAACUAUUUACAUAGCAUUUACAUUGUAUUCCCAACUAUUUACAUAACAUUUAUAUUUUAUUAAGUAUUAUAAGUAGUCUAGAGAUAAUUUAUAGUAUACAAGCAUGUGUGUAGGUUAUAUGCAAGUACUACACCAUUUUAUGUAAGUAGGGAAUUGGGCAUCUGUGGAUUUUGGUAUAUGCAGUGGGUCCAGGCAUUAAUACACUGUACCAGGGGACAACUGUAUAUAUUAUGUCAUGCCUAGAACAACUCCUAAAAAAAAAUAUGAGACCCCACAAAUACUCUACUCUAAACAGAAAAAUAGCAGAGUAGGAAACUACAGCAGUCCAUCCAACCACAAAAAGUAAUUAAUAGACUGGCAAAAACAGAAUCAACUUUUUCAAAAAUCUGGUAACUAAUCAGAAGUGAACAGCAUUCAGAGAACUUCUGAAUCAAGAGAAAAACAAGUGUUAUCAUAAUAAGUGAAGUAAGAAAGACAAAUACCAUAUGAUAUCACUUACAUAUGUAGUCUAAAAUAUAACACAAAUGAACUUAUCUAUGAAACAGAAACAGACUUAAAGGUAUAGAGAACAGACUUAUGGUUGCCAAG